Molecule: long non-coding RNA, 4569 nt
Filed under: Setaria italica (foxtail millet)
Lineage: Eukaryota; Viridiplantae; Streptophyta; Magnoliopsida; Poales; Poaceae
Description: long non-coding RNA (SITA_LNC006352)
Source: RNAcentral
GUGGGUCGCCGAGACCGGCAUCGAGAACAUCGGCCGGAAGCUCGUCAACUCCAGGGACGGCCCGCCGACGUUCGACCAGCCCAAGAUGACGAUCGAGAAGCUGCUCGAGUACGGCCACAUGCUGGUGGCGGAGCAGGAGAACGUCAAGCGCGUGCAGCUGGCCGACAAGUACCUCAGCGAGGCGGCGCUCGGCGAUGCCAACCACGACGACGACGCCAUCGCCGCCGCCCGCAACUUGUACUACGGCAAGGCGGCGCAGCAGGUGGGCUUGCCCGUGCCCGAGGGGUGCACCGACCCAAAGGCCGGCAACUUCGACCCAACAGCCAGAAGCGACGACGGCAGCUGCGUCUACAACUGACGCAUGCAUGAUGCCUCUGCCCACACUCCUCUUUUAUCUUUUUGCAAAUUAAGUGUAAACUGCCUUCAAUUCAUGUUUGAAGUUGACAAGAAACAAGAAACAAGUUUGUAAUAGGAUACAAAAUUUGUGGUGCAAUUUAGCUAGGAUACAAAAUUUGGAUGUCUCAUCCAUCCUGCAGGAGGAGGAGCCAGGGACCAUGGUCACACCCAACAAAAGAAAAAUGUUUGCUACCUAUUGUUAGCCCAUGGUCAGUAGAUGAUAGGAGCUAAAUCCAACCGCCCAAACCGCAUACAGCCACCACGCUAAGAUGACAGGAUCUCGUCCUCGCUCGCCAUGUUUCGUUUUCAAUCUCGCAGUUGCAAUGGACUCGACGUCUGCGCUCGGCGCCACAGACUCUAGCUCUGCGACUGCGGCGGCAUCACGCCGACGAUGGCAAAUGGUCGCGGCCGUGAUGGAGGACAACAUCAACAACUCAAACCAAAUGUAAGCGAACUAUUUCCGAUUUCUAAUUUAUUGUCUCAUACUGAGAGAGAGAGAUUGAGAUGAAGGUCACGACAAAUUCGAUUAUUGAUGGUUUCAACUUAGAGCAAAAUGCCAAAUUCUUGAAUCCGUAAAUAUUGUCUGUUCUAACUUUCUUGGAAAAGUAAUAACAUGGCAAGUAUGAUCAAAUUUAUAAAAUAAAGUACUAACAUUUAUGAUACAAGUAUAUUAGGUUCUUCAUUAAAUAUAUUUUCAUAGUAUAUCUACUCGAUGCCACAAUUAUUUGUAAUCCUUUGUAUAAUUUUGGGUCAAACAUUAAAUAAUUUGACUCUCCAAGAAAUUUAAAAUGACUUAAAAUCUGGAACUAAAAGGAUAUAUACAAAUAAAGUACCAGUGAAUCACAAAUAAAUUAGAAACUCCCAGAAAACCUGCAUCCAGUGGCCUAUCAGUGUCAUGCAACACAAACCAAGAGAUGGUCUCUUACUCUCUUAGGCCCCCUUUGGUAGGGCUUCGGCUGCGGCUUCUCCACCGAGAGAAGCCGAAGCCCUACUAAAUGAUCUCCACCAAAACGGCUUCGGGGAAGAAGCCCCUCCGAACCCGCUCUGUGGAGCCAUUUGACGGAGAAGAAGCCCAAAAAACCGGCUCCCCGCGGCUUCUUCCCGUCGUUCCCACCCUUGCCCUCGGGGAGCUCGCGGGUGGAGGUGAAGGGUGCGGUGGAGGCGGUCUGGCGGCGCAGUGGAGUCGGAGGAGCGAGGUGGAGGCAGAACGGCGUGGUGGAGGUGGCCUGGCAGCGCGACGCGACACUGGAGGCGGAGCGGCGUGGGGACGGAGGCGCGGCGCGGUGGAGGGCAGGGACGGUGACGCUAGGGGCCGACGGUGGAGCGGAGGCGCUGGGGCGGCCGGCGGUGGAGCGGAGGCGCUGGGGCAGCCGGCGGUGGAGUGGAGGCGAGCGGAGGCGUCGGGACGGGCGGAGGCGAGCGGAGGCGCUGAGGCGAGCGGAUAAGGCAGGCGUCGACUUGGCGAGUAGAUAAGGUUGGCGGAGGCGGAUAAGAAUUAAAGGAAAGAGAAAAAAAAGGAGAAAAAAGAAAAAGGAAAAAAAUAAGGAAGGGUAUUAUGGACAUUUCAUAUUUUUAUCCAUGUUACUCAUCUAGGAGAAGUCGUUUUGCCAAACGUUUCUCCAUCCAGACUAGGUAAAGUUAAAAAAACUGUUUCAUCGAAGAAGCCACAACCACAGCUGUUUUAGCCACAGCUGCAGCCCUGCCAAACGAGCUCUUAGUGUUGCCACUGCAAGCAAGCCAUCUGCCAAACCCCAUCCUCAGCGUGUGGCCUCCGAGAGAUGUGGGAGCUGAUCCACAACCACAGGCUCUUCGCUGACCUCCGAUCCGAUCCCGACAACAGGCCAUGGCGGCAGCCGCAGCCGCAGCGGCAGACACACGGCCACCACACGUGCUCCUUUAUUUGGCUCUCGGUCUCAGUACUUUGAGAACGAAGAGCAGCUAGCGGCGGCGGCGCAUCAGUGACAGAUCACUCGUGCUUGCCCUUCCUAGCAAGGUCGCCCAAGGAGGAAGAAGAAGAAGCAGCGCCGCGCCGCAGAGAUGGCGGCCGCCUCCUCCUCCACCGUCGUAGCUCCGGUGAGUUCAUUCUCUUCCAUCAUCAUCUCAUGCAUCGAUCAUACGAGAGCCGCCUGACGAUUAGAGUGCAAUCCUUCAUACAGGCCUCCACCCCGGCCAGCUUCCUCGGGAAGAAGCUCAGGCCGACGCAAGCGACGACGGCGGCGGCCGUGAACUACUACCAUGUCAAGAGCUCCAGCGGCGCCAACAGGUUCAAGGUCAUGGCCGCCCCGACCCCCAUCCCGCUAACCACCAUCGCCGAGCUGCGGCAGCACCACUCGCAGCUCGUCCGCCUCGGCCUCGCCUCCCACCCUUCCCACGCGCGCCGCCUCCUCUCCUUCCUCGCCCGCGACCCCGACUCCCACUUCCCCUACGCCGCCCGCCUCCUGGCGCACCACCCGGACCCGCACCCGGCGCUCUUCAACCCGCUCCUCUCCGCCCUCCCGCCGCGCCACGCCGCGCGGCUCCUGGCACUCAUGCUCUCCCUGCCCCUGCCCCCCGACCACUUCACCUUCCCGCGCAUCCUCCCCGGCGCCGCGCCGCUCCUCCUCGUCGCCCAGCUCCACGCGCUGCUCGUCAAGCUCGGCUUCCACUCCCACUCGCAGUCGCUCAACGCACUGCUCGCCGCGUACCUCGCCAAUGCGCGCCCCGACCUCGCCUCCCGUGUCUUCCGCGGCGGGGGUGCCCUAGACGUCGUGUCGUGGACCACCAUGGUCGGCGGGCUCUGCAAGCUGGGGCUGGUCGACGGCGCGCGGGAGGUGUUCGACGGGAUGCCGGAGCGGAACCUGAUAUCGUGGAACGCGAUGAUGUCCGGGUACGUGAAGGCCGGGCGGUUCCUGGACGCGCUGGAGGUGUUCGACGAGAUGCGGGCGCGCGGCGUGGAGGGGAACGGGUUCGUCGCGGCGACGGCGGCGGUGGCGUGCACGGGCGCCGGCGCGCUGGCGCGCGGGAGGGAGGUGCACCGCUGGGUGGCGCGGAGCGGGAUCCGGAUGGAUGACAAGCUGGCGACCGCGAUGGUCGACAUGUACUGCAAGUGCGGGUGCGUCGAGGAGGCGCGGCGCGUGUUCGAGGCCCUGCCGGCGAAGGGGCUCACGACGUGGAACUGCAUGAUCGGCGGGCUCGCUGUGCACGGGCGAGGCGAGGACGCUGUCGAGGUGUUCGCCCGGAUGGAGAGGAAGGGCGUGGCGCCAGACGACGUCACGCUGGUGAACGUGCUCACGGCCUGCGCGCACGCGGGGAUGGUCCGCGAGGGUCGCCGCUACUUGGACCACAUUGUUCGAAGAUACGGCGUCGAGCUGAAGAUGGAGCACUACGGCUGCCUGGUUGACUUGUAUGGAAGAGCAGGGCAACUGGACGAAGCCAAGAAGGUGAUCGACGACAUGCCGAUGGAGCCGGACGUCGGCGUCCUCGGCGCGCUGUUUGGUGCGUGCAAGCUCCACGGCGAUGUCGACUUGGGCGAGGCGAUCGGGUGGCGCGUCAUCGAGCUGGAUCCCCAGAACAGCGGCCGCUACGUGCUGCUGGCGAACCUCCUCGCCACCGCCGGCCGGUGGGAGGACGUGGCCAGGGUCCGGCGGCUGAUGGACGAGCGGAAUGUGAGCAAGGAGGCCGGGCGGUCCGUGAUCGAGGUCGACGGCGAGGUCUGCGAGUUCCAGUGCGGGAGCCUGAGCCAUCACCAGGCAGAGGAGGUGUACGCCAUGGCCAGGGACAUGAUGAGGAGGAUCGGGGCAGAGGGCUACUUGCCCGACACGAGGGACGUGCUGCACGACGUUGCGUAGGGGAGGAGAGCUGGAGCAGGGGCACCGGAUGUCCCAAAAAAACUAUUCUCUCUCCUCAAAGUGUCUUCCAGCAAAAUUGACACAAACAAAAAGUAUCCACCAACAAACAGCCAAGAUGACGCUGGAGAAGCUGCUCGAGUACGGCCACAUGCUGGUGGCGGAGCAGGAGAACGUCAAGCGUGUGCAGCUUGCCGACAAGUACCUCAGCAAGCAACCAGGCAGCUCCGGCCCAGGUAAGCGUGUUCUUUUCUUCCCUCCUAAUUCUUGCACUUCACCAGGUAGACAUGCAUGGACACCGGCGCGUUGCAUUGAAGCCGUCCACCAGCGGCACGUCGUAGAAGCGCCG